Silurus meridionalis is the source of this 1782-nucleotide long non-coding RNA. RefSeq lists it as uncharacterized. The record is from RefSeq and is a predicted model, not a curated record. Lineage: Eukaryota; Metazoa; Chordata; Actinopteri; Siluriformes; Siluridae. The transcript has 5 exons.
GUGGUGUUGCUAAGGUAGAGGACAUUAAAAGUUCAGGUUGCUCUGACUUCUUUUAAUAUUGUGAUAUUUGUGAUAUAUCACUAAAGCCUUGUGUUUGGAAUACGUGGUAUAAAUCUUAAAAUAAGGCAUCAUCCUUACUAAUAAGGUACUCUGUUAUCCAGAAAGGGGUGGUGUGAGCCAUGGCAUUCAGUGAUUUAGCUCCACACGACCACAUCAAGCACCAUGUAAUAUCAAGUGGCCUGAAUUGUUGUCCAACAGGGGGCGACACAUGGGACAGCCGUUAUUUCCCGUUUGGAAAUUCAAAACAAAACCAGCCAAGGCCAGUUUCCCGACCUGCACCGCGGCGAAAAUAAGCGCUGACCGUUAAAAAAAUGAACUAAAAAAAUUAUUUAAAAAUUCAUAACGCGAUUAUUUGCGCCCGAGACUCCCGGUGUUGCAAUGGAUAUAAAAAAUGCAAACCGGCGAGGCGUCGAAAGAAAAAAAAAUUGUAGGGGAAAAUUUUUUAUUUAUUUUUUUUUCCUCGGUGCCUCGUGUCAUCACAGAGUAGAGGCGCUGCAGUGGAGCAUUGGCGCCAUUUUCAAACUUCAGAGCCCGAGUGAAUGCGACUCUUGUUAUACACAAAAUUGUCAUUUUUUUGUACUUUGACUUUUUCUUGUUUCUUUUUAAUUCAUCGUUUUACAUUUAAUGGUGAUUAUCCUGACUCUGAGGACAAGAUUUCUUUUAAACAAAAAAAGGUGCAGAAUUGACUUUAGAGGACGAUUGGUGUUCAGUGAGUGCCUUUUGGGAUUAUCAGCCACCUUCACCUCUCCUCUGUUGCUCAAGAGGGUGAAGGAAAAAAGGCAGAGGCUGAGCCUGUAGAAGGACCUUGUAAGCCUGUUGUCACCACAACCUGAGAUGUUGGCACAGCCAUGACUGUUGGUGGUGGAGGGGGAGCCAUAACAACCGGGACCUUCUUGGUACUUUUCUUUGAAACGGGGACAAGGUUCUUGUGACUCAACAGCACUUCACAACAACAACAAACGUGUGGUGGAGCAGCAGUUCCUCCCCGCCUUCAACACUACUCACCCUGCUGGACUCGAGUCUGCCACCGGGUGCAACUGCAUGAACACAAUUCAAGUUGUCAUUGGAUUAAGACCACACCCUUCAAUUCCAGUGAUCUGUCAAGCCUGCUAAUGUAAAAAAAAUUCUAGAAUAUAAUUGAGUAUAUGAACUCCUAAAGCUAGGUAAUAUGAUUAACUAUUUUAACAAAAUGUGUGAAGUUUGGAAUUAUUCCAGAAUAAGAUUGGAAUAAUAUAGUAAGCUAUAUUAUAUAUCAAGUUAAUGGCAGUGACACAUGUAUUUAGGCAUUUUAGAUGCCCUUUAUUGUAGUCAGUUUGUAUGUUUGCUGUUGCGUCUGCAUUUUCUUCUAAUGUAUUUGUUGUAGACUCAAAGCCGUCUAGAUUUUACUGCAUUUUUUCUUGCUUGCAUGUGAUGCAUAUAAACAGUCCCUUUCUUCCUACUUCCAGUGAAAUGAAUUAUUAAAUGAUUAUUAUAGUAAGACAGAGAAAUUUACACUACCUUGGAAAAACACCAGCUUGUCAGUGAUCAUGUAUGAUACUGACAGAUAACUGGCCAACAGCACUUAAUAUUACUUAUAUUGGCCGUGUGUUAAUCCAAGCAUUCAUUUUAAACCACCAGGACACACUUUACAUUACUCCAAUUCCAAAAUAAUAGUUGGAACACUGUGUAAAAUGCUAAUCAAAACAGAUUGCAAUUAUUUAAAAUGAUUUAUUAAAUGUUUAA